UCCUACGGGAGGCAGCAGUGGGGAAUAUUGGACAAUGGGCGCAAGCCUGAUCCAGCCAUGCCGCGUGUGUGAAGAAGGCCUUUUGGUUGUAAAGCACUUUAAGCGAGGAGGAGGCUACUUGGAUUAAUACUCUAGGAUAGUGGACGUUACUCGCAGAAUAAGCACCGGCUAACUCUGUGCCAGCAGCCGCGGUAAUACAGAGGGUGCGAGCGUUAAUCGGAUUUACUGGGCGUAAAGCGUGCGUAGGCGGCUUCUUAUGUCGGAUGUGAAAUCCCUGAGCUUAACUUAGGAAUUGCAUUCGAUACUGGGAAGCUAGAGUAUGGGAGAGGAUGGUAGAAUUCCAGGUGUAGCGGUGAAAUGCGUAGAGAUCUGGAGGAAUACCGAUGGCGAAGGCAGCCAUCUGGCCUAAUACUGACGCUGAGGUACGAAAGCAUGGGGAGCAAACAGGAUUAGAUACCCUGGUAGUCCAUGCCGUAAACGAUGUCUACUAGCCGUUGGGGCCUUUGAGGCUUUAGUGGCGCAGCUAACGCGAUAAGUAGACCGCCUGGGGAGUACGGUCGCAAGACUAAAACUCAAAUGAAUUGACGGCA
This 590-nucleotide ribosomal RNA is filed under the name uncultured bacterium. RNAcentral describes it as "bacterial SSU rRNA". It matches the Rfam family "Bacterial small subunit ribosomal RNA", at positions 337 to 918 of the family's 1533-position model. The record is from RNAcentral.